AUGCCCACACAGCAGCUGUGGCGCCGCGGCUCUGCUCCCAUCCGCCCACCUGCACAGCGACCGGCGCGGCGCUGCGGGACCAGAAGCUCGCCUGCGGCGGCGGAAGGGGCCUCUGUGACUCCGGCUGGAUUCACCACCUGCAAGGACGAUUGGAUCCGGCUGGAUUCGCUCAGGGCAGACGACAACGCCAAGGACGACUGGAUCCACGACCUCCCGCCCCUCUACAUGGCCAACAGUAGCACCGAACAGAGUACUCCAUUGCUGCCCGGAACGCAGCGAGCAACAAGAUGCGCUAGGUGUGGAGGAGCUGGGGGCCUGGGCGAGGAGGUGCCCAGGGGCGGGAGCGGCGAGGUGCCCAGGGGCGGGAGCGGCGAGAUGCCCGGGGCUGGAGCGGGAGGUGCCCAGGCGCUGGAGCUUUUCCUCGCCUAG
Molecule: ribosomal RNA, 429 nt
Filed under: Triticum aestivum (bread wheat)
Lineage: Eukaryota; Viridiplantae; Streptophyta; Magnoliopsida; Poales; Poaceae
Description: partial small subunit ribosomal RNA
Source: RNAcentral